UACGUAGGUCCCGAGCGUUGUCCGGAUUUAUUGGGCGUAAAGCGAGCGCAGGUGGUUUAUUAAGUCUGGUGUAAAAGGCAGUGGCUCAACCAUUGUAUGCAUUGGAAACUGGUAGACUUGAGUACAGUAGAGGUGGGCGGAAUUCGUGGUGUAGCGGUGAAAUGCUUAGAUAUCACGAAGAACUCCGAUUGCGAAGGCAGCUCACUGGACUGCAACUGACACUGAGGCUCGAAAGUGUGGGUAUCAAACAGG
This 252-nucleotide ribosomal RNA is filed under the name uncultured bacterium. RNAcentral describes it as "partial 16S ribosomal RNA". It matches the Rfam family "Bacterial small subunit ribosomal RNA", at positions 524 to 776 of the family's 1533-position model. The record is from RNAcentral.